UAAACGAUGAGUGCUAAGUGUUAGGGGGUUCCGCCCUUUAGUGCUGCAGCUAACGCAUUAAGCACUCCGCCUGGGGAGUACGACCGCAAGGUUGAAACUCAAAGGAAUUGACGGGGGCCCGCACAGCGGUGGAGCAUGUGGUUUAAUUCGAAGCAACGCGAAGAACCUUACCAGGUCUUGACAUCCUUUGACCACUCUAGAGAUAGAGCUUUCCCUUCGGGGACAAAGUGACAGGUGGUGCAUGGUUGUCGUCAGCUCGUGUCGUGAGAUGUUGGGUUAAGUCCCGCAACGAGCGCAACCCUUAUUGUUAGUUGCCAUCAUUAAGUUGGGCACUCUAGCGAGACUGCCGGUGACAAACCGGAGGAAGGUGGGGAUGACGUCAAAUCAUCAUGCCCCUUAUGACCUGGGCUACACACGUGCUACAAUGGACAGUACAAUGAGCAGCGACACGGCGACGUGAAGCGAAUCUCAUAAAGCUGUUCUCAGUUCGGAUUGUAGGCUGCAACUCGCCUACAUGAAGCCGGAAUCGCUAGUAAUCGCGGAUCAGCACGCCGCGGUGAAUACGUUCCCGGGCCUUGUACACACCGCCCGUCACACCACGAAAGUUUGUAACACCCGAAGUCGGUGAGGUAACCGCAAGGAGCCAACCGCCUAAGGUGGGAUAGAUGAUUGGGGUGAAGUCGUAACAAGGUAACCAAGGGCGAAUUCCAG
RNAcentral lists this ribosomal RNA (711 nucleotides) under uncultured Vagococcus sp. RNAcentral's name for it is "bacterial SSU rRNA". It matches the Rfam family "Bacterial small subunit ribosomal RNA", at positions 803 to 1516 of the family's 1533-position model. Lineage: Bacteria; Bacillati; Bacillota; Bacilli; Lactobacillales; Enterococcaceae. The record is from RNAcentral.